This 859-nucleotide ribosomal RNA is filed under the name Polypedates leucomystax (Java whipping frog). Its description in RNAcentral is "partial 16S ribosomal RNA". It matches the Rfam family "Bacterial large subunit ribosomal RNA", at positions 1504 to 2609 of the family's 2925-position model. Lineage: Eukaryota; Metazoa; Chordata; Amphibia; Anura; Rhacophoridae. The record is from RNAcentral.
AAACCCCCCAAAAUACCAUUAAUUUUCAUGAACCCCUAAUUUAUAAUGAAUGACUCCAUAUUUAUAUGGAAGACACCAUGCUAGGAUUAGUAACAAGAAUUUAUAAUUCUCCAAAAUGCAAAUAUAAACCAACAUGGAUAGACCAUUGGUAGUUACCGAACCUAAAUUUACUGCAAUAACACCCACAAGAAAACUCUGCAGUACUUACUCGUUAACCUAACACCAGCGCAUUACAGGAAAGAUUUAAAAAAAGAGAAGGAAUUCGGCAAAUGACGGCCCCGCCUGUUUACCAAAAACAUCGCCUCUUGACUUAUAAUAAGAGGUCCAGCCUGCCCAGUGAAUUUUAAACGGCCGCGGUAUCCUAACCGCGCGAAGGUAGCAUAAUCACUUGUUCUUUAAAUGGGGACUCGUAUCAACGGCAUCACGAGGGUUUUACUGUCUCCUCUUUUUGAUCAGUGAAAUUGAUCUUCCCGUGAAGAAGCGGGAAUAUUUUUAUAAGACGAGAAGACCCCAUGGAGCUUUAAACCAAAUAACAACUUAACUACUUAUCCCACAAUAAAUUUAAGCCCUGUUAUAAGGUUUUUGGUUGGGGUGACCGCGGAGUAAAGCACAUCCUCCACGACGGAAAGAACAUAAUCUUUAUUUAAGAACCACACUUCUAGAAAUUAGUAUACUAACGUUUACUGACCCGACAAUCGAUCAACGGACCAAGUUACCCUGGGGAUAACAGCGCAAUCUACUUCAAGAGCUCAUAUCGACAAGUAGGCUUACGACCUCGAUGUUGGAUCAGGGUAUCCCGGUGGUGCAGCCGCUACCGAAGGUUCGUUUGUUCAACGAUUAAAACCCUACGUGAUCUGAU